GUGAAUCCCUUGGCUCAACCAAGGAAGGGCAUUUGAAACUGUCUGGCUUGAGUACGGGAGGGGGAAGUGGAAUUCCCGGUGUAGAGGUGAAAUUCGUAGAUAUCGGGAGGAACACCGGUGGCGAAGGCGGCUUUCUGGACCGAUACUGACGCUGAGACGCGAAAGCGUGGGGAGCAAACAGGAUUAGAUACCCUGGUAGUCCACGCCCUAAACGUUGGGCACUAGGUGUUGUGGGUAUUGACCCCUGCAGUGCCAAGGGCGAAUUCCACAGUGGAUA
Molecule: ribosomal RNA, 277 nt
Filed under: uncultured bacterium
Lineage: Bacteria
Description: partial 16S ribosomal RNA
Rfam family: Bacterial small subunit ribosomal RNA
Source: RNAcentral